RNAcentral lists this non-coding RNA (45 nucleotides) under Schistosoma mansoni. Lineage: Eukaryota; Metazoa; Platyhelminthes; Trematoda; Strigeidida; Schistosomatidae. The record is from RNAcentral.
AUCCAGCUGACGACUCCCAAAAAAGACGAAACACACUUCCUGGAU